CACAGUCUGUCGCCCCUAUUGGCUUGUGUGCACACUGGUGGUUGCAAUUGCUGGGUCAGUUCUGUCUCCAGCCUUGUCCUCUAUGCAAACCAAUGGACGUUGCAGCCCAACCAGGUCUCACUCACCACACACUUGACCACCACCCUGUGUCACCUGAUGUCAUGAUGAGCACUGUUGCCUUCUGAAAUCUCUCCUGGAAUUAUGUUGUGACCACAGCAACUCAUGUAAUUAGCGUACUUCUGAGACUCUUCAACUACUGCCUGAUAAAGGUAAUUCCUACCUGGGGAGGCAGCAGUGAUUGCUCAAGUGGCUGGAUUUCUGCUAUUCACUUUGGAGAUCUGGAUUGAGUUCCUGGCUUGAAGUUGGCUCAGUUUUGGUUGUUGCAGAUUAGUGGAGAGCAAACAGAGGAUGGAGGAUUUUCUUG
Long non-coding RNA from Ochotona princeps (American pika), 424 nucleotides. RefSeq lists it as uncharacterized. Lineage: Eukaryota; Metazoa; Chordata; Mammalia; Lagomorpha; Ochotonidae. The record is from RefSeq and is a predicted model, not a curated record. The transcript has 3 exons.